GACGAACGCUGGCGGCGUGCUUAACACAUGCAAGUGGAGCGACGAACCGGGGCUUGCCCCGGGGGCAGAGCCGCGAAACGGGUGAGUAACACGUGGGUGUAUCUGCCCUGAUGAUCGGGACAACCCGUCGAAAGACGGGCUAAUACCGAAUGUGCCCGCAAGGGGAAAGGAGGCUUCGGCUUCCGCAUCGGGAUGAGCCCGCGGCCCAUUAGCUUGUUGGUGGGGUAAAGGCCUACCAAGGCGACGANGGGGUAGCUGGUCUGAGAGGACGAUCAGCCACACUGGGACUGAGACACGGCCCAGACUCCUACGGGAGGCAGCAGUGGGGAAUCUUGCGCAAUGCGCGAAAGCGUGACGCAGCAACGCCGCGUGCGGGAAGA
RNAcentral lists this ribosomal RNA (380 nucleotides) under uncultured bacterium. RNAcentral's name for it is "bacterial SSU rRNA". It matches the Rfam family "Bacterial small subunit ribosomal RNA", at positions 28 to 411 of the family's 1533-position model. The record is from RNAcentral.